This 482-nucleotide ribosomal RNA is filed under the name uncultured bacterium. Its description in RNAcentral is "partial 16S ribosomal RNA". It matches the Rfam family "Bacterial small subunit ribosomal RNA", at positions 28 to 507 of the family's 1533-position model. The record is from RNAcentral.
GACGAACGCUGGCGGCGUGCUUAACACAUGCAAGUCGAACGAUGAAGAAGAGACACGCGAACUUCGGUUCAAAUUUCACUUCGGAUUAGUGGCAGACGGGUGAGUAACGCGUGAGCAACCUACCUCUUACAAAGGGAUAGCCUCGGGAAACCGUGAUUAAUACCAUAUGACACAUUCAUAAGGCAUCUUAAGAAUGUUAAAGCUACGGCGGUAAGAGAUGGGCUCGCGUCCCAUUAGCUAGUUGGUGAGGUAACGGCCCACCAAGGCGACGAUGGGUAACCGGGCUGAGAGGGUGAACGGUCACAUUGGAACUGAGACACGGUCCAAACUCCUACGGGAGGCAGCAGUGGGGAAUAUUGCACAAUGGAGGGAACUCUGAUGCAGCGACGCCGCGUGAGCGAUGAAGGAAUUCGUUUCGUAAAGCUCUGUUCUAUGGGAAGAAAAGGACUGUACCAUAGGAGAAAGCCCCGGCUAAAUACGUG